UGCCUUCUCAGCCUGCAUGGAGACCUGAGGCUCCCCUAACUGUCGCCAGGAAAUCCUCUCCUGCUCUCCACUCUUCCUGGAGGCUGCUGACCAAGGACCUUCGGGGGGAGAUGACGCCACCCUCGGUGGAAGAGCGCCGGCCCUCACUGCAGGGCAACACGCUGGGCCGUGGGGUCUCCUGGCUCCUCAGUCUGAGUGGCAGCCAGGGCAGUGACCUGGGCCUGGUGGACUUUAACGGCCAAAC
Molecule: small RNA, 244 nt
Filed under: Pan troglodytes (chimpanzee)
Lineage: Eukaryota; Metazoa; Chordata; Mammalia; Primates; Hominidae
Description: processed transcript
Source: RNAcentral